UAAAAGGUCGAAUUACUUGAAAAGAAAAGA
This 30-nucleotide non-coding RNA is filed under the name Rattus norvegicus (Norway rat). The record is from RNAcentral. Lineage: Eukaryota; Metazoa; Chordata; Mammalia; Rodentia; Muridae.